CAGUCGCCGCGGGAAUACAGAGGGUGCGAGCGUUAAUCGGAUUUACUGGGCGUAAAGCGUGCGUAGGCGGCUUUUUAAGUCGGAUGUGAAAUCCCUGAGCUUAACUUAGGAAUUGCAUUCGAUACUGGGAAGCUAGAGUAUGGGAGAGGAUGGUAGAAUUCCAGGUGUAGCGGUGAAAUGCGUAGAGAUCUGGAGGAAUACCGAUGGCGAAGGCAGCCAUCUGGCCUAAUACUGACGCUGAGGUACGAAAGCAUGGGGAGCAAACAGGAUUAGAUACCCGAGUAGUCCCUGUCUCUUAUAU
This 301-nucleotide ribosomal RNA is filed under the name uncultured bacterium. RNAcentral's name for it is "partial 16S ribosomal RNA". It matches the Rfam family "Bacterial small subunit ribosomal RNA", at positions 509 to 809 of the family's 1533-position model. The record is from RNAcentral.